This 433-nucleotide ribosomal RNA is filed under the name uncultured bacterium. Its description in RNAcentral is "partial 16S ribosomal RNA". It matches the Rfam family "Bacterial small subunit ribosomal RNA", at positions 29 to 507 of the family's 1533-position model. The record is from RNAcentral.
AGCGAACGCUGGCGGCAGGCCUAACACAUGCAAGUCGAACGAACUCUUCGGAGUUAGUGGCGGACGGGUGAGUAACACGUGGGAACGUGCCUUUAGGUUCGGAAUAACUCAGGGAAACUUGUGCUAAUACCGAAUGUGCCCUUCGGGGGAAAGAUUUAUCGCCUUUAGAGCGGCCCGCGUCUGAUUAGCUAGUUGGUGAGGUAAAGGCUCACCAAGGCGACGAUCAGUAGCUGGUCUGAGAGGAUGAUCAGCCACAUUGGGACUGAGACACGGCCCAAACUCCUACGGGAGGCAGCAGUGGGGAAUCUUGCGAAAUGGGCGAAAGACUGACGCAGCCAUGCCGCGUGAAUGAUGAAGGUCUUAGGAUUGUAAAAUUCUUUCAGCGGGGACGAUAAUGACGGUACCCGGAGAAGAAGCCCCGGCUAACUUCGUG